RNAcentral lists this ribosomal RNA (321 nucleotides) under uncultured eukaryote. RNAcentral describes it as "partial 18S ribosomal RNA". It matches the Rfam family "Eukaryotic small subunit ribosomal RNA", at positions 1470 to 1796 of the family's 1831-position model. The record is from RNAcentral.
CCCUUAGAUGUUCUGGGCCGCACGCGCGCUACACUGACGCAUUCAACGAGUCUCCUUGGCCGAGAGGCCUGGGUAAUCUUGUGAACGUGCGUCGUGAUAGGGAUAGAUUAUUGCAAUUAUUAAUCUUGAACGAGGAAUUCCUAGUAAACGCAGAUCAUCAAUCUGCAUUGAUUACGUCCCUGCCCUUUGUACACACCGCCCGUCGCACCUACCGAUUGGAUGGUCCGGUGAGGCCUCGGGAUUGUGGCCGGUGCAUUCAUUUGUGUCGGUUGUGAGAACUUGUCCAAACCUUAUCAUCUAGAGGAAGGUGAAGUCGUAACA